This 248-nucleotide unclassified non-coding RNA is filed under the name uncultured fungus. Its description in RNAcentral is "sequence contains ITS1, 5.8S rRNA gene". The stretch from base 200 to 248 matches the Rfam family "5.8S ribosomal RNA", at positions 1 to 49 of the family's 154-position model. The record is from RNAcentral. Lineage: Eukaryota; Fungi.
UCUCCGUUGGUGAACCAGCGGAGGGAUCAUUAUAGAGUUUUCUAACUCCCAAACCCUUUGUGAACUUAUACCUAUUGUUGCCUCGGCGCAGGCCGGCCUCUUCACUGAGGCCCCCUGGAGACAGGGAGCAGCCCGCCGGCGGCCAACCAAACUCUUGUUUCUACAGUGAAUCUCUGAGUAAAAAACAUAAAUGAAUCAAAACUUUCAACAACGGAUCUCUUGGUUCUGGCAUCGAUGAAGAACGCAGC